RNAcentral lists this transfer RNA (75 nucleotides) under Acidimicrobiia bacterium. RNAcentral's name for it is "tRNA-Val". It matches the Rfam family "tRNA". From Rfam's summary of the family: Transfer RNA (tRNA) molecules are approximately 80 nucleotides in length. Lineage: Bacteria; Bacillati; Actinomycetota; Acidimicrobiia. RNAcentral also lists the same sequence under 1 other name. The record is from RNAcentral.
GGGCGCUUAGCUCAGCGGAAGAGCGCUGCCUUCACACGGCAGAGGUCACUGGUUCGAACCCAGUAGCGCCCACCA